AAGUCGUAACAAGGUCUCCGUAGGUGAACCUGCGGAGGGAUCAUCAAAGGAUAUUAUCUUUUAUACUAAAAGGGAAAGGGGGGUUAUUAGUGUAAUAGUAGUAGCCCUCCUUUUUCCCUUUUCAAACAAACGAUCACAACUAUAUGCAAUAAAACAAAAAGGGUAAAUUGGAUUGGUGUGGGGGGGGCAGAAAUUUUCUGCGAUUGGACACAAAUGGAAAAAGUGGUUGCCUGAUAUAUAAAAUGUGCAAUUUCUGGAUGAAAUGGUAAUAAAAAGAUACAACUUUCAACAACGGAUCUCUUGGCUCUCA
Molecule: unclassified non-coding RNA, 310 nt
Filed under: fungal sp.
Lineage: Eukaryota; Fungi
Description: partial internal transcribed spacer region
Rfam family: Eukaryotic small subunit ribosomal RNA (bases 1-46)
Source: RNAcentral